Molecule: long non-coding RNA, 812 nt
Organism: Oncorhynchus keta (chum salmon)
Lineage: Eukaryota; Metazoa; Chordata; Actinopteri; Salmoniformes; Salmonidae
Exons: 6
Source: RefSeq, a predicted model, not a curated record
GUGUGUACCUGUCCAUCAUAGGUCACAGGUGUGUGUGUGUACCUGUCCAUCAUAGGUCACAGGUGUGUGUGUGUGUACCUGUCCAUAAUAGGCCAAAGGUGUGUGUGUGUACCUGUCCAUCAUAGGUCACAGGUGUGUGUGUGUACCUGUCCAUCAUAGGUCACAGGUGUGUGUGUGUGUACCUGUCCAUAAUAGGCCAAAGGUGUGUGUGUGUACCUGUCCAUCAUAGGUCACAGGUGUGUGUGUGUACCUGUCCAUCAUAGGUCACAGGUGUGUGUGUGUACCUGUCCAUCAUAGGUCACAGGUGUGUGUGUGUGUACCUGUCCAUCAUAGGUCACAGGUGUGUGUGUGUACCUGUCCAUCAUAGGUCACAGGUGUGUGUGUGUGUACCUGUCCAUCAUAGGUCACAGGUGUGUGUGUGUACCUGUCCAUCAUAGGUCACAGGUGUGUGUGUGUGUGUACCUGUCCAUCAUAGGUCACAGGUGUGUGUGUGUGUACCUGUCCAUAAUAGGCCAAAGGUGUGUGUGUGUACCUGUCCAUAAUAGGCCAAAGGUGUGUGUGUGUGUACCUGUCCAUCAUAGGUCACAGGUGUGUGUGUGUGUACCUGUCCAUCAUAGGUCACAGGUGUGUGUGUGUGUACCUGUCCAUCAUAGGUCACAGGUGUGUGUGUGUACCUGUCCAUCAUAGGUCACAGGUGUGUGUGUGUACCUGUCCAUCAUAGGUCACAGGUGUGUGUGUGUGUGUACCUGUCCAUCAUAGGUCACAGGUGUGUGUGUGUGUACCUGUCCAUCAUAGGUCACAGGUGUGUGUGU